UGCUGUCUAGGAGUAUGUCCUGUCUC
RNAcentral lists this non-coding RNA (26 nucleotides) under Rattus norvegicus (Norway rat). Lineage: Eukaryota; Metazoa; Chordata; Mammalia; Rodentia; Muridae. The record is from RNAcentral.